AGUAAUAGUUAGUUCAGUGAUAAGGUUGUUGGGUAAUAAUAGUUACUUCAGUGAUAAGGUUCUGGGGUAGUAAUAGUUACUUCAGUGAUAAGGUUCUGGGGUAGUAAUCGUCAGUUUGUGAUAAGGUUCCGGGGUAGUAAUAGUUACUUCAGUGAUAAGGUUCCGGGGUAGUAAUAGUUAGUUCAGUGAUACGGUUCUGGGGUAUUAAUAGUUACUUCAGUGAUACGGUUCUGGGGUAGUAAUAGUCACUUCAGUGAUAAGGUUCUGGGGUAGUAAUCGUUAGUUUGUGAUAAGGUUCCGGGGUAGUAAUAGUUAGUUCAGUGAUACGGUUCUGGGG
Molecule: long non-coding RNA, 337 nt
Organism: Oncorhynchus tshawytscha (Chinook salmon)
Lineage: Eukaryota; Metazoa; Chordata; Actinopteri; Salmoniformes; Salmonidae
Source: Ensembl